UACGUAGGGGGCAAGCGUUAUCCGGAUUUACUGGGUGUAAAGGGAGCGCAGACGGAAUUGUAAGCCAGAAGUGAAAGCCCGGGGCUCAACCCCGCGGAUUGCUUUUGGAACUGUGAUUCUAGAGUGCAGGAGAGGCAAGUGGAAUUCCUAGUGUAGCGGUGAAAUGCGUAGAUAUUAGGAGGAACACCAGUGGCGAAGGCGACUUGCUGGACUGUAACUGACGUUGAGGCUCGAAAGCGUGGGGAGCAAACAGG
Molecule: ribosomal RNA, 254 nt
Filed under: uncultured bacterium
Lineage: Bacteria
Description: partial 16S ribosomal RNA
Rfam family: Bacterial small subunit ribosomal RNA
Source: RNAcentral